UGCCUGUCCACUUGGAGUUUGAUGGUUCU
Molecule: non-coding RNA, 29 nt
Filed under: Homo sapiens (human)
Lineage: Eukaryota; Metazoa; Chordata; Mammalia; Primates; Hominidae
Source: RNAcentral